Long non-coding RNA from Galeopterus variegatus (Sunda flying lemur), 217 nucleotides. RefSeq lists it as uncharacterized. Lineage: Eukaryota; Metazoa; Chordata; Mammalia; Dermoptera; Cynocephalidae. The record is from RefSeq and is a predicted model, not a curated record. The transcript is spliced from 3 exons.
UUUAUGCAUGAAGCUAUGGCUACAGAUUCCCCUAGAAGACCCAGUCGUUGUACUGGUGGAGUUGUGGUUCGCCCUCAGGCUGUCACAGAGCAGUCCUACAUGGAAAGUGUUGUGACUUUUCUGCAGGAUGUUGUGCCACAGGCUUACAGUGGAACACCUCCAACAGAAGAAAAGGAGAAAAUAGUCUGGGUCAGAUUUGAAAAUGCAGAUUUGAAUG